RNAcentral lists this ribosomal RNA (137 nucleotides) under uncultured bacterium. RNAcentral describes it as "partial 16S ribosomal RNA". It matches the Rfam family "Bacterial small subunit ribosomal RNA", at positions 1357 to 1500 of the family's 1533-position model. The record is from RNAcentral.
AUACGGUGAAUACGUUCCCGGACCUUGUACACACCGCCCGUCAAGCCAUGGAAGCUGGGUGUACCUAAAGUCGGUAACCGUAAGGAGCCGCCUAGGGUAAAACUAGUAACUGGGGCUAAGUCGUAACGGAAGGUACC